RNAcentral lists this ribosomal RNA (374 nucleotides) under uncultured bacterium. RNAcentral's name for it is "bacterial SSU rRNA". It matches the Rfam family "Bacterial small subunit ribosomal RNA", at positions 29 to 422 of the family's 1533-position model. The record is from RNAcentral.
AACGAACGCUGGCGGCAUGCCUAACACAUGCAAGUCGAACGGGAUCCUAGCUUGCUAGGUGAGAGUGGCGGACGGGUGAGUAACACGUGGGAAUCUGCCUUUUGGUUCGGGAUAACCGCGGGAAACUGCGGCUAAUACCGAAUGCCCUCGAGAGAGGAAAGAUUUAUCGCCAGAAGAGGAGCCCGCGUCCGAUUAGGUAGUUGGUGGGGUAAAGGCCUACCAAGCCGACGAUCGGUAGCUGGUCUGAGAGGAUGAUCAGCCACACUGGGACUGAGAUACGGCCCAGACUCCUACGGGAGGCAGCAGUGGGGAAUAUUGGACAAUGGGGGCAACCCUGAUCCAGCAAUGCCGCGUGAGUGAUGAAGGCCUUAGGG